UACGGAGGGUGCAAGCAUUGAUCGGAAUUACUGGGCGUAAAGGGCGCGUAGGCGGCCAAGAAAGUCAGAUGUGAAAUUCCGGGGCUCAACCCCGGAGCUGCAUUUGAAACUUCAUGGCUAGAGUACAGUUAGGGUUAACGGAAUUCCACGUGUAGCGGUGAAAUGCGUAGAUAUGUGGAAGAACACCGGUGGUGAAGACGGUUAACUGGGCUGAAACUGACGCUGAGGCGCGAAAGCUAGGGGAGCAAACAGG
RNAcentral lists this ribosomal RNA (253 nucleotides) under uncultured bacterium. RNAcentral's name for it is "partial 16S ribosomal RNA". It matches the Rfam family "Bacterial small subunit ribosomal RNA", at positions 524 to 776 of the family's 1533-position model. The record is from RNAcentral.